AACGAACGCUGGCGGCAUGCCUAACACAUGCAAGUCGAACGAGACCUUCGGGUCUAGUGGCGCACGGGUGCUUAACGCGUGGGAACCUGCCCUUAGGUUCGGAAUAACUCCCCGAAAGGGGUGCUAAUACCGGAUAAUGUCUUCGGACCAAAGAUUUAUCGCCUUUGGAUGGGCCCGCGUUGGAUUAGCUAGUUGGUAGGGUAAAAGCCUACCAAGGCGACGAUCCAUAGCUGGUCUGAGAGGAUGAUCAGCCACACUGGGACUGAGACACGGCCCAGACUCCUACGGGAGGCAGCAGUGGGGAAUAUUGGACAAUGGGCGAAAGCCUGAUCCAGCAAUGCCGCGUGAGUGAUGAAGGCCUUAGGGUUGUAAAGCUCUUUUACCCGGGAUGAUAAUGACAGUACCGGGAGAAUAAGCUCCGGCUAACUCCGUG
RNAcentral lists this ribosomal RNA (433 nucleotides) under uncultured bacterium. RNAcentral describes it as "partial 16S ribosomal RNA". It matches the Rfam family "Bacterial small subunit ribosomal RNA", at positions 29 to 507 of the family's 1533-position model. The record is from RNAcentral.